RNAcentral lists this long non-coding RNA (389 nucleotides) under Homo sapiens (human). RNAcentral describes it as "HSALNT0229498". Lineage: Eukaryota; Metazoa; Chordata; Mammalia; Primates; Hominidae. The record is from RNAcentral.
CUUAAAAUGAAUGUAUCUACAUUUGUUCCUGAGAUACAGGUUGAUGGACGGAUGGCUACAUGGAUGUGAUGGAGAUGGUUUACUAUCGGGACCUUCCGCACCCUGCUGAUGUUUUGUUGCUUAGGAUAUGAAUGGCUGAGCGGAGGCUGUAAAACCUGGCACUCUGCUUGGGUUAUCAAUACUCUGGCUGACCAUCAUCAUCGUGGGACUGACUUUGGUGGAAGUCCUUGGUUACAUAUUAUUAUUGCGUUUCCGACAAGUUAUAAAGUUGUCAUUACCCUCUGGAUAGUUUACCUUUGGGUGUCUCUCCUGAAGACUAUCUUCUGGUCUCGAAAUGGACAUGAUGGAUCCACGGAUGUACAGCAGAGAGCCUGGAGGUCCAACCGCCG